This 71-nucleotide transfer RNA is filed under the name Bos taurus (domestic cattle). It matches the Rfam family "tRNA". From Rfam's summary of the family: Transfer RNA (tRNA) molecules are approximately 80 nucleotides in length. Their secondary structure includes four short double-helical elements and three loops (D, anti-codon, and T loops). Lineage: Eukaryota; Metazoa; Chordata; Mammalia; Artiodactyla; Bovidae. RNAcentral also lists the same sequence under 5 other names. The record is from Rfam by way of RNAcentral.
UCCUGGUAGCUCAGAUGGUAAAGAAUCUGUCUGCAAUGCAGGAGACCCAGGUUCAAUCCCUGGGUCAGGAA